AUAAAAGAAUGCAGAUGUUUAAAUAUUUUAUUUUUUCUUUUUGUGUUUAGAAAUGCACUCGGUGAUGGAAAGAGAGCCAUUAUUCUGAAGAGCACUUGGCCAAAGGGCAUAUAUACCUAGGAAUUUAUCAGCACCUGCUUUUAGUACUUCACUUAACUUUGUGGAGACGGAAAGAGAUCUCAAAAAAGCUAACUACAAGAUGGCAAACGGUGGUAAUCAGAACCUAAAGGAAAGCUCAGUUAAAAACUUAAAAUUAUUUCAGCUAUUAAUAGUAA
RNAcentral lists this long non-coding RNA (275 nucleotides) under Ictidomys tridecemlineatus (thirteen-lined ground squirrel). Its description in RNAcentral is "lncRNA (ENSSTOG00000034948.1)". The record is from RNAcentral. Lineage: Eukaryota; Metazoa; Chordata; Mammalia; Rodentia; Sciuridae.